This 502-nucleotide long non-coding RNA is filed under the name Vulpes vulpes (red fox). Its description in RNAcentral is "lncRNA (ENSVVUG00000022153.1)". Lineage: Eukaryota; Metazoa; Chordata; Mammalia; Carnivora; Canidae. The record is from RNAcentral.
AGGGGGGACCCCCCUGGGGCCGCGGUGCCCGCGCGCGGCUCUCGCUCCUUGCCGGCCCGGUCCAGCAGGACAGGCCCAGGACAGACCCCGCUGCGCCUGUCUCCCGCCUGGACGGGAGGCCACCAGGGACCCUCGGUCCCGAGACACGCCCGCGGCAGACAUCCCAGAGACGCGUCACGCACCUGCACCUCCGAGACGCAACACGCUCCACAGAGGGGACAUGCCCCUCAGGGGUGACAUGGCUCACAGGUCGGCUACUGGUUUUUGAGAUGUUGCCGCGGCAGAGGCCUGGCCAGCCCCAUUCUGGUGCCCAGCCCCAAGGUGGCCACCACCCCCACCCCGGCCCCACUCAAGAGGAAUGGGGCCUGCUGGGUGCCCGCCCUGCCCUCCUGCCAGGAGAAGCUGCCGUUGUUUUGAGCCGGGCAGACAGAGGUAGAGACAAGAAUCAGUGAGAGGAAGAGUCAUUUAUGAUUUAUGAAUAACGAACUAAUUUAAUCCUGGG